CAAACCAAAUUAAGGUGAAACCGCGAAAGGCUCAUUAAAUCAGUUAUGGUUCCUUAGAUCGUACCCACAUUUACUUGGAUAACUGUGGUAAUUCUAGAGCUAAUACAUGCAAACAGAGCUCCAACCGGAGACGGAAGGAGCGCUUUUAUUAGAUCAAAACCAAUCGGUGGCGGGUUUCGGCUCGUCAUCGUACAAUUUGGUGACUCUGAAUAACUUUAUGCUGAUCGCACGGUCUUGCACCGGCGACGCAUCUUUCAAAUGUCUGCCUUAUCAACUGUCGAUGGUAGGUUCUGCGCCUACCAUGGUUGUAACGGGUAACGGGGAAUCAGGGUUCGAUUCCGGAGAGGGAGCCUGAGAAACGGCUACCACAUCCAAGGAAGGCAGCAGGCGCGCAAAUUACCCACUCCCGGCACGGGGAGGUAGUGACGAAAAAUAACGAUACGGGACUCAUCCGAGGCCCCGUAAUCGGAAUGAGUACACUCUAAAUCCUUUAACGAGGAUCAAUUGGAGGGCAAGUCUGGUGCCAGCAGCCGCGGUAAUUCCAGCUCCAAUAGCGUAUAUUAAAGUUGUUGCGGUUAAAAAGCUCGUAGUCGAAUCUGUGUCCCGUGCCGUCGGUUCACCGUCCGCGGUGUCAACUGGCGUGUCACGGGACGUCCUGCCGGUGGGCUUAGCUCGCAAGGGCGGCCCAACUCAAUCCCGCCGCGGUGCUCUUCAUUGAGUGUCGACGGUGGGCCGGCACGUUUACUUUGAACAAAUUAGAGUGCUUAAAGCAGGCUAAAACUUUGCCUGAAUACUGUGUGCAUGGAAUAAUGGAAUAGGACCUCGGUUCUAUUUUGUUGGUUUUCGGAACCCCGAGGUAAUGAUUAAUAGGAACGGAUGGGGGCAUUCGUAUUGCGACGUUAGAGGUGAAAUUCUUGGAUCGUCGCAAGACGGACAUAAGCGAAAGCAUUUGCCAAAAACGCUUUCAUUGAUC
This 973-nucleotide ribosomal RNA is filed under the name Murmidius ovalis. Its description in RNAcentral is "SSU rRNA". It matches the Rfam family "Eukaryotic small subunit ribosomal RNA", at positions 66 to 978 of the family's 1831-position model. The record is from RNAcentral. Lineage: Eukaryota; Metazoa; Arthropoda; Insecta; Coleoptera; Cerylonidae.